AUGGCCCAGUCUGUCCUGUGGGGUUGCUCUCCCAAUGUCCAGCAUGCGGCCACCUCCCAGAGCCCUGAUUUGGAGGGCUUUUCCAGGGCUGGCUGCAACCUCAGCCCACAGUCCCCACACUGGGACAUGUCAGCAGAGCCUGAGCACUUGAAGGAGUCCUCCAUGUAUCCUACUCCAAAACCCUGCUCUUCCCACCUUCUCCUUUUAUUCCUUCUCUUUCUGCUCCCCCGAAUGAUAAGGCCCCACAUUGAGGCCAUGUCUUGCAUUCUGCACUCCCUACCUUUCUUCCCCCAGCACCUCGCCUGCCUUCUCAGGGACCCAGUGGUGAAGUGCCCUUGGUGGAAUCUUGGGAUUCUCGAAGGAGAAGAUGCCCACCAGAGUGCAGCAUUCCUGAGGUCCUCGGUGGCAGGAUGGCUUCCAAAGAUCCCAGCCGGCUGGAUUCCGCCAACAUCACCUCCUCGGAGAAGCCUUCCGGGCCUAGGCUGACCCUGCCCAGGCUCCCACCAGGCUCCACUGGACCCUCUCCCGGCCUGCGAGCUGUUGGCAUCCCAUCAGCAGUCUGAGAAGAUGGAGUCCUAUCAGGCAGCUGGGAGGUCCCAAGCUGGGAUGCAGGAAUCUGGAUUCCUGUCCCUUUGCUCCACCACAAACCACCUUAUAUAAGUUAUACCUCCUUCUUACACCUCAACAUACCCAUCUGUAAAACAGGUAGGCCGAGUAUAUCAUGCAGAGUGAUGCUGGUGGGCAGUUUUUCAAAUUGUGCUACCUGGCACCCUAGGGGUUAAUCAAAGCCACUCCUGGUGGUGGCCGCUGGGGGCGGGCUUCAAGGUUAGGAGUCGAUAGGUGGCCCCAGCCUACCACCCCCACUUCAGUCAGAGUGACUACCCUCAUGUGUUUUAGUCAUUGAGCCGCUGCUAAAGGUGUUUGAAACCCCACAGCAGACAAGACAUUCUCUAAAAGUCCUUCCAGAUUCCAAGUCCUCCCCCUCCCCCCAUGUUGCUGGCCCACCUACCCAAACCAAGCCUCUGUUCUGGGCAGAGCUGGGCAUCCUUGAUCUCCUGGGGUAUUUGAGCCCAGUGGGUGAGAUACAGGCACUCCUUGUCAGGGGCUGCAGUUGAGAGGCUCACACCCCACAGGGGUUGCAAAAAACAGAAGCUAGGGUUCCUUUUCUCUCUAGACAGGGGCAUAUCUGGUGCCUCUAAGACCCAAGACCUGUGCGCUGGUGUGAGGGUCAUGGACUUCAGGACCCUCUUGACCCCUCUUGAGCCCAGCUCUGCAUGGCCUCUGUGCUGCAGGGAAGUGCCGAGGACAAGGUCUCCUCGCAGAGAUCACAUCAGACGGGCAGGCGGGUGGCCCAGAUAAGCUCCUGUCUACCAGCAGGGACUGGAUGUUCCAGCCACCGCAGCUUCAGGGAAUGACUCAGCCACUCCUAGAGCACACGGUGCCCCCUGCAUGGACCUCAGAGUCUGUGCUAUCAGCUCUCUGACAUCCAGGUGCUCACUGCCUCCCUCAGUCACAGGCAUGGCUGUGGGCACUGA
This 1535-nucleotide long non-coding RNA is filed under the name Vulpes vulpes (red fox). Its description in RNAcentral is "lncRNA (ENSVVUG00000021251.1)". Lineage: Eukaryota; Metazoa; Chordata; Mammalia; Carnivora; Canidae. The record is from RNAcentral.